UCUGGUUGAUCCUGCCAGUAGUCAUAUGCUUGUCUCAAAGACUAAGCCAUGCAUGUCUAAGUAUAAACGCUUCUAUACAUGUGAAACUGCGAAUGGCUCAUUAAAUCAGUUAUAGUUUAUUUGAUGGUUCCUACUACAUGGAUAACCGUGGUAAUUCUAGAGCUAAUACAUGCAGAAAGUCCCGACUUCUGGAAGGGAUGUAUUUAUUAGAUCCAAAACCGGCGCGGGUCUUGUACCCGGUUGCUUGGUGAUUCAUGAUAACUGCUCGAACCGCAUGGCCUUUGCGCUGGCGGUGCCUCAUUCAAAUUUCUGCCCUAUCAACUUUCGAUGGUACGGUAGUGGCCUACCAUGGUUGCAACGGGUGACGGAGAAUUAGGGUUCGAUUCCGGAGAGGGAGCCUGAGAAACGGCUACCACAUCCAAGGAAGGCAGCAGGCGCGCAAAUUACCCAAUCCCGACUCGGGGAGGUAGUGACAAUAAAUAACAAUGCCGGGCUUUCUUAGUCUGGCAAUUGGAAUGAGUACAAUCUAAACCCCUUAACGAGGAACAAUUGGAGGGCAAGUCUGGUGCCAGCAGCCGCGGUAAUUC
RNAcentral lists this ribosomal RNA (587 nucleotides) under Spheciospongia vesparium. RNAcentral describes it as "SSU rRNA". It matches the Rfam family "Eukaryotic small subunit ribosomal RNA", at positions 1 to 585 of the family's 1831-position model. Lineage: Eukaryota; Metazoa; Porifera; Demospongiae; Clionaida; Spirastrellidae. The record is from RNAcentral.